UGUACUCUCUCUCUCUCUCUCUCGCAGAUUUCAGAAACAGAUUCCAUUUCUAAAUCGAGCAAGAUGGAACAUUCGUUAUCUGCGCUUGUAUACAAAGGUUCUAUUCCUAAAGCCAUUCUUGAAUCCAAGAAGCAGAAGAAGCUCUUUGUUGUCUAUAUUUCUGGUUCAGAUGAAAAGUCAGUUGAAUUGGAAAAAUCCACAUGGACUGAUUCAAAAGUGGGAGAGUCACUGUCAAAGUACUGCAUUUUCUUGCAUAUCCCAGAAUCAAGCACUGAUGCUGCAAAUUUUCGUGCAAUAUAUCCACAGAAAUCUGUCCCUUCUAUAGCAGCUAUUGGGUACAAUGGAGUUCAACUUUGGCAAAAUGAAGGAAUUGUUAGUGCUGAAGUUCUGGCUUCCAGCUUAGAGAAGGCAUGGUUGGGUCUUCAUAUCCAGGAAACAACUG
This 442-nucleotide unclassified non-coding RNA is filed under the name Hevea brasiliensis (rubber tree). Lineage: Eukaryota; Viridiplantae; Streptophyta; Magnoliopsida; Malpighiales; Euphorbiaceae. The record is from RNAcentral.